CAUUUGGAUAUGGGGCGUAAUUUAACUUGGACUACAACUGAUUGAUGUAGAUUGGUGCAUUGAAGGGGAUCAGUUUGUAGUAAUGGGUAUCAUCAAUGUUUCCUUGUGCCAAUUGGUUUCAGAAAUUAAAUCUGAAGUAUGGGCAUCAGUAUACGGACGAAGGGUUCUUGGCCUGAGUCAAGUUUGUACAAAAAAACAGGAUGCGUGUGCAGCAGCUCCAUCCAAGACACAUAUGUGCCAUCCAGGGGAAAUACCUUCAUACCAUGUUCGGUUUAAAUCCCUGUCAAUUGAUAUUUGAUAGUACACUAGAAAUUCCUCAUCCAAUUCCUAUGCUAUUCUAAUGUUACUUUAUGUUAAGACCAGAUGUGAAUAAUCUGUUAAGUGAUUCUUGUUUUGGUAUAUGCAGGUGGACGGUGUUUGGUUUGUUCUUUCAACUCUUGAUUCCUGAGCUACUACUGGAUCUUGCAUCUGUGUUUAGCUAGUAGAGUAUAAAAUGCAAAUGCUUAUGACCCGGACUAUGAAUGAUUGUUUUAAUGUUGCUCAUCUAUUGCAAUGAUUGUCUAAGCUCAAAAUAGUAAUCAUUACUGUCUCUUGCUUUAGUAUAUACAUAUGGAAUUUGUUGCAGUGACAUUAUAGUUUAAACUCAAAAUAUACAUGAUAUACAUAAUUUAAUUUCUGUUGGCAAAUAUGGAAUGACUGUCCAGAUUAAAAUAUGCUCGAUAAUGGUUUGUGGUUUGUCUGAAUCUGAUAAGUGACAAUAUGUCAUUCUUCAUGUUGUGAGAUAGUAUUAUCUUUGCAAAGAAACGAACUGCUUCUAGACUAUGUUAUCCCGUUUGGUGGAGUGAAGGGUUUUUCCUUAACUACAGUUAGCACAAGUGAACCUUCAUGAUUUAAUCUUCCAAGGCUCGUUU
Molecule: long non-coding RNA, 911 nt
Filed under: Triticum aestivum (bread wheat)
Lineage: Eukaryota; Viridiplantae; Streptophyta; Magnoliopsida; Poales; Poaceae
Description: long non-coding RNA (TAES_LNC008001)
Source: RNAcentral